Hemicordylus capensis (graceful crag lizard) is the source of this 2915-nucleotide long non-coding RNA. RefSeq lists it as uncharacterized. The record is from RefSeq and is a predicted model, not a curated record. The transcript is spliced from 3 exons. NCBI's taxonomy places the organism in Eukaryota, Metazoa, Chordata, Lepidosauria, Squamata, Cordylidae.
CUGCAAGACCAAGUCUAGACUUUUCCCUGACCUAGGGAGUCAGAAGAAUGCAAAGUGGUUGGCAAGGGACCCGAGCAUUUAAAAAAAAGAUAUAAAUGGCACAAAACAAAAACAGAAGCAGGAAGAUCACUUUGGUAUCAGCCACUGGCCAAAGAAUGAGAGCCUGCUUCCAAUUCCCUUCCAGAAAAACUCUCCUGCAAAGAGCGGAAGAAGCAGCUGUCUGCUAGGGCUGUUUGAUUUCCUUCUUCUAACCAACAAGCUACUUACGAAAUCAAGCAAAUAAACAGGCAAACAAAGAAACAAAAGAACAACAAUCUUAAGCCAAAUGAACAAUAUAUUUUUCAAUAUCAAUGUCCUAUGGGAAAUCACUUCUAAAUUAGUCCUGCAAAAUGUGUUAGGAAAAUGAUCCAGGAGGAUAUUCUUUUGUGAUUCAAAAGGGAUGUUUGUGUUGUUUAUGCCACAGCUAAUCACUGCAAGUGAAAGGCAACCUACCUACAACUUUCUUUUCAUGCAGAAGACAGGUAAAGGAAAAAAGGAAAGAAAUCUGGGUGAAGAAAUACUAAACAAACGUGCAUGAUCUAAUCAAAAGGGCAUGAUCUAAUCAAAGUUAAAUUAGUUUGAAUCCCAUUGGAUUCAAUAUUAUUAUUUUACACACAUACAAAAUCAAUUAAUCAAAAAUAUUUAAAUAAUAUUAAGCUCCUGUGUAAGUUAAUAUCCAGCUUGUAUAUCACUUCGAUAAAAUAAAACUGUUUCUCCUCCUGAAGCCUCAAGUAAUUGUCUGGCUUCCCUGAACAUAAUGUCAAUCUGGACAUUUCAGCUAGUUUCCAUAUCUUCACCAACCAUUCUUUUCAGAAGUGAAUUGAUGAGUUGCCAUGUCAUUUUCUGGCCACUAACAUUUCUGCUGAAGUUAGCAAAGUCUAGAUUAAUCAGUCAUGUUCUCUGUGGAUUAUACUUUCCAGAUUACUUAGCAAAACAAACAAUGGACACAAGAACAUCACUGAACAUGCAAAUCAGAAAAGUCGUAUUUCACUGAACAUGCAAAACAAGUCUGUAGCUUGAGGGUUCUGCUGGAUUCAACGCUGUCCCUGGAGGCCCAGGUGUCAGCAGUGUCCAGGAGUGCCUUCUACCAACUUUGACGGGUUUGUCAGCUGCAACCCUACUUGGAGAAACUAGAACAGACCUCUGUCACUCAUGCACUGGACACAUUCAGAUAGGACUACUGCAAUGCACACCAUCUGGGGAUUGUUUCUGAAGACUGUUUGGAAGCUUCAGCUGGUCCAGAAUGCUGCUGCAAGGAUGUUUGCAGGCACUAGACUCUAAACAAGUAUUACACCUAUCCUGCAGCAGUUUAAAUAGUUGUGAAUUUGCUUUGGAGCCAGAUUGAAAGUGCUGUUUUUGACCUUUAAAGCCCAACACAGCUUCAGACCAGGGUGCCUUUUGGACCACAUUAACCCAUAUGACUCUGCUAGGGCCCACAGAUUGUCCAAUCGAGCCCUUCUCUUGACCCCAUCACUGACACAAAUAUGGUUGGCCAGAAUCAAAUACAGGACUUUCUCAGUAGUGCCCACCCCCACUCUGUGGAAUGCCCUUCCAAAAGGGCUUUGUCAGUCUCCCUUUUUGUUUAGUUUUUAAAAAGAACAUAAAAACCUUUCUUUUAAAGAAAGCUUUUAAAGACUAACUGUGAUUUUGUUUUAAUGCUGGCUGAUAUUCUACUUGUCUUAUAUUAUUUGCUCUUUUAUUUGUUUUAGGGUGAUUUAUUGUAUUUUAUCGUAGAUAUUAUGUUUUUACACUUUUAAUGUAAGCCACCCCAAGCAGCAGUGUGCUCGAUGGCAGGAUAUAAAUAAUAAAAAUACCUACAUACAUAUGGACUAUUUCCAGUAUUUGUUACCUCUGUUUUACAGAACAUACACAAGAAGUAAGGUGCUAAGUAUCAUUAGCAACAUAUUUGUAUAGUGUUUCUUAUAUUUAUAAAUGGAGAACAUGCAGAAACCUUUGUAUAUGUGAAUUGCCAAAUGCCAUGUACAUAGUCCCAUUGAUAUCAAUGGAAAAAUCAAAAACCUGAUUAAAACUCUACCACUGAAAUCAAUUAAAAGUGCAUAACCUUUAGCUGGAUCAUACCUUUAUAUUUACAAGUAAUCAAAGAAUCUCAAAAAGCCUUAAAAAUAUGGCACUGUAACUUAAAUAUAGGCAUUCCACAACUUACAAACACCUGCACUUACAAAGCUCCAUCACAUAUUGCAUUAAAGAAGUCCCCAACUUACAAACACCAACUCACAUAUACAAACAAGUUGUCCUCUUGGGAACUAUAUGUGUUCUGUGUUAGGAACAUCCAACUUCUAAAUGAACUUUUGGAAUACAAACCAUUCAUAAGUUGGGGUCAUUCUGUAAUCACGUUCAAAGCUAUGCAAAAUUAGUACAAAGCAGGUGAAAAGCAUAACCAAAUUAAAAUAAUGUUACUGUUCUAAAAGGUAUAUCAAUAUGUCAUGGUCUCCGUUAAGAUACACAGCAUUUAAUCAUUUUUAAAGUUAACAUAUGAAUGUGUGUUCAAAGCAGUGAUACUAGCCUGCUUACCUGACAAAUGGACCAAAUAUAUCAAGUGACUUGCUGAAUGACUGCAGCAAAUCUGUGAAAAAUUGACAAUAAAUCUGACUUCCAGAAUAAACAACCAGAGAUUGAAUAAAAUCUCUUACGAUUUUUAAAAAGCACUUGAAAACCCACUUCUUCACCCAAGCUUUUUCAGCUUUUUAAAUGUUUAAAUUUUAACCUAUUUUUGAUUUUUAGAUUGCCUAAAUUGUUUUAAGAUUUUUGUGUAUGUUUUAACUUGUUUUAUGUUAUUGUUAACCACCCAGAGACUAAAGUUUGGGGCAGUGUAUAAAUCUGACAAAUAAAUAAAUAAAUAAAUAAAUAAAUAAUGA